This 68-nucleotide transfer RNA is filed under the name Marmota monax (woodchuck). Its description in RNAcentral is "tRNA.Undet". The record is from RNAcentral. Lineage: Eukaryota; Metazoa; Chordata; Mammalia; Rodentia; Sciuridae.
GGGCUGUAGCUCAGUGGCAGAGCGUUUGCCUAAGCAUGCAUGAGGCAUUGGUUCAAUCCUCAGCACCA